UACGUAGGGGGCAAGCGUUGUCCGGAAUCAUUGGGCGUAAAGCGCGUGUAGGCGGCCAGAUAAGUCCGCUGUGAAAUCUCGAGGCUCAACUUCGAGCUGUCGGUGGAAACUGUCUGGCUAGAGUCCGGAAGAGGAGAGUGGAAUUCCCGGUGUAGCGGUGAAAUGCGCAGAUAUCGGGAAGAACACCCGUGGCGAAGGCGGCUCUCUGGGACGGUACUGACGCUGAGACGCGAAAGCGUGGGGAGCGAACAGG
Molecule: ribosomal RNA, 253 nt
Filed under: uncultured bacterium
Lineage: Bacteria
Description: partial 16S ribosomal RNA
Rfam family: Bacterial small subunit ribosomal RNA
Source: RNAcentral